Molecule: ribosomal RNA, 278 nt
Filed under: uncultured bacterium
Lineage: Bacteria
Description: partial 16S ribosomal RNA
Rfam family: Bacterial small subunit ribosomal RNA
Source: RNAcentral
UGCCGCAGCCGCGGUAAUACGGAGGGUGCAAGCGUUAAUCGGAAUUACUGGGCGUAAAGCGCGCGUAGGCGGUUAAGUAAGUCGGAUGUGAAAGCCCAGGGCUCAACCCUGGAAUUGCAUUCGAUACUGCUUAACUAGAGUAUGGUAGAGGGAAGUGGAAUUUCAAGUGUAGCGGUGAAAUGCGUAGAUAUUUGAAGGAACACCAGUGGCGAAGGCGGCUCACUGGCUCGAUACUGACGCUGAGGUACGAAAGUGUGGGGAGCAAACAGGAUUAGAUA